ACUUGUGAGACAGGCGGCGGCACCAUUGAGCUAAAUCCCCGGCCUGGUUCUCACAUUUUAGAGUGUUUAGGAGUCAGCUGCAGAGCUGUUCAUACCCCAGACGUCCUGACUGCAUCUGGGAACAAUUUCCAGUAACCGAAGACACUGAUGAUCAAAUGGUACACAUGGGCAGUUACAGAUUUCUGCAAAAGGAAGGCUACAUAAAUUUAAGCUUCCACCUCUACCUUUUUCUGGGCCACUGCCUGUCUUGAUGGUUCACCCCCAGAAGUAGGAUCGUGCUUAAGAAGCAAUAGUUGCUCAGUAGGAGGUCAUCUCUCUUCACUCAUCCAUCCAAUAUCAAAAAAUCUUCUUUUUCAAAAGAAUCAUAAAGUUGCUUGUUUUUAACAAGACAGAAGACCACAACAUGGAGGUUUAACUUGAGAGUUUAAACAUUUGGAUUUUUACUGCUAACUUCAGGGCUGCAGGCAAGGAAACAUAAAAGAACCCUCAUUCACGUUCCCAGAGAACAGCAUCUGAGCCUGGGAAGACUUGGCACUAAAUGAGAGGGAAGAGACUGUCUUGCACAUACAUCUGUGUACCAGGACAUCUGUAGGAGGAAUUCAUGGAACCAGAGUUGCUGGCUGAAAUUACUCUGCCCUGCUGUUCAUCUAAAUGAGAAGAGUUCUUUGUGUCAAAGGAUGGCCAGGCCUGUUGGAGCAUUUCUUCUACACUUGGGAAAGGACUGCACAGAGCCGAGCCCGGGGCUCAUUUCAGGCGUCCGGCCAUGCUGGGCUUCCUUGGAGCGACUAUCUUGGAAUUUGGAUCUCUCGGUGUAACAAGAUUUCUGGAAACCUCAGACCUUGGCCACACCUGGAGGAGUUGUCAGCUUCUACUUACCGAGCCGUACAGGAGCCCGGCGGUGUCCAUAGCCAAGUAUUGGCCGGUCUCCGUGCUCUUUAUAUACACCUCCCCCACACCUUCCGCACUGAGCUGCAGCUGAACUGGGAGAAAAACAACACAUGCAAAACCUUGGGCCACCAGCCAGCUGCCUGCAUCCCUGCCAGAAUCAUCUACCCAGCCCUGCAGCAGCCUCAUGGAGCUGCUUGCACAGAAAGCACUUUCAUCAUAGAUCAAGGCACCUACUUGGAUCAUUUGCCCUUGUGACACUGGAAUUAAGCAUGAGUACCGUGACAGAAGACGCAGAUGCUGGCCCAGGAGGCUGGAGCCCGGUUUUCGUUCCAUGAGAGGCGGGCGAGGAUGAGCUGUGACGGCUGUGAUGGCGGCAGUGGCAAGACCAGGAAGGCUCUGAGAGCUACAGUAUUCUAUCCAAGGUCACACAUCCGGACCAUCGCACUGCCAAAGCCUGAUCUCAAGUUCACUUGAACCCAGAGGCCAAACUUGGAAGCAGAGAGGUGUGAAUGAAUGAGACGGACUCCGUGAAGAGAACACCGUAGCUCUGCUAUGAAUGGAUUUCCUUGCCUGUCUGGAAGCAGGAGAAGUUGGAACCAGCCGUAUCUGAGGAGGGAGUAUGUCACUGUGGGUUUGUGAAAUGUUGGGAAUCUGGAAGCUGGCUUAGACCUCUAAGUUAUGUUUUAACAGGAACUUCCAGGAUCCCUGCAGGGAAAAGCAAAGGUCCUGGGUGACACAGCAACAAUAGAACAAAAUUGAAGAAAAAAACAAAACCCAAAACAAAAAAACAAACAUCAGGCUAAACCUGUCAUCAAAGGGAGGGAGGAAAAAGCAGCAGUAAGUUCAGGACCAGAAGGCUCAAGCUUGAACAGAGUAUACCUACUGGUGGUGUUGGGUGGGGGCCAGCGCCCAAGAAUAUGGUAUCAUGCUUUCCAAGCCCAGGGACAGAAGUGGCUUCCAUCCAGUCCUGCCUGUAUUUAUUCCAACAAACAAAUUGGCAGGAUAGAAAGAACCCCUGUAGGGGAUAAGGAUAAACAGGGAAUGUCUACGGGAAGCAAAAAGAUGCUCUGCAUAGGUUCAGUUGAGCAAGUCAGGCUAGGAACUGAGCCCUGGCAGAGAGAGAGCACAAAAUAGAAACAGAGAAUGCAACUGACUUGAAAAUGCUGAGCGUAGUGUGGAAUGCACAGUAGGAGAACUGAGCAUAACUGUGGCCUUAGACAGUUGAUUACCUGUUGAUGGAUGAGCCAGAAAGAGUAGAGAUGAAAUUACGCUUCUCAUCCGGACUUUUUGAUUAGAAGUGGUAAGAAAGGUAAUACAACCUUACCAAAGUUUAAAAAGAGAAUUUUAGUUUAAAAAGGAUGACAGAAGAGACCAAAAUGGUGAGGUAGAGAUCAAUGCAAAACACAGCCUCUCCAGGACCUGGAAUUGAGACACCUGGAAAAUAACAACUUGGUAAAGCGGAAAAAAAAAAGUAGAACUCUGGGAAUUGGGAAGGAGCUGAUAGGAAAACCAGAAAA
Long non-coding RNA from Fukomys damarensis (Damara mole-rat), 2405 nucleotides. RefSeq lists it as uncharacterized. The record is from RefSeq and is a predicted model, not a curated record. The transcript has 11 exons. Lineage: Eukaryota; Metazoa; Chordata; Mammalia; Rodentia; Bathyergidae.